This 1079-nucleotide ribosomal RNA is filed under the name Campylobacter lanienae. Its description in RNAcentral is "bacterial SSU rRNA". It matches the Rfam family "Bacterial small subunit ribosomal RNA", at positions 96 to 1193 of the family's 1533-position model. Lineage: Bacteria; Pseudomonadati; Campylobacterota; Epsilonproteobacteria; Campylobacterales; Campylobacteraceae. The record is from RNAcentral.
UGGCGCCGGGUGAGUAAUGUAUAGUUAAUCUGCCCUAUGCUGGAGGACAACAGUUAGAAAUGACUGCUAAUACUCCAUACUCCUUCUUAACACAAGUUAAGUUGGGAAAGUUUUUUCGGCAUAGGAUGAGACUAUAUUGUAUCAGCUAGUUGGUGAGGUAAUGGCUCACCAAGGCUAUGACGCAUAACUGGUCUGAGAGGAUGAUCAGUCACACUGGAACUGAGACACGGUCCAGACUCCUACGGGAGGCAGCAGUAGGGAAUAUUGCUCAAUGGGGGAAACCCUGAAGCAGCAAUGCCGCGUGGAGGAUGACACUUUUCGGAGCGUAAACUCCUUUUCUUAGGGAAGAAAUUUGACGGUACCUAAGGAAUAAGCACCGGCUAACUCCGUGCCAGCAGCCGCGGUAAUACGGAGGGUGCAAGCGUUACUCGGAAUCACUGGGCGUAAAGGACGCGUAGGCGGAUUAUCAAGUCUUUUGUGAAAUCUAAUGGCUCAACCAUUAAACUGCUUGAGAAACUGAUAAUCUAGAGUGAGGGAGAGGCAGAUGGAAUUGGUGGUGUAGGGGUAAAAUCCGUAGAGAUCACCAGGAAUACCCAUUGCGAAGGCGAUCUGCUAGAACUCAACUGACGCUAAUGCGUGAAAGCGUGGGGAGCAAACAGGAUUAGAUACCCUGGUAGUCCACGCCCUAAACGAUGUAUACUAGUUGUUGCUAUGCUAGUCAUGGCAGUAAUGCACCUAACGGAUUAAGUAUACCGCCUGGGGAGUACGGUCGCAAGAUUAAAACUCAAAGGAAUAGACGGGGACCCGCACAAGCGGUGGAGCAUGUGGUUUAAUUCGAAGAUACGCGAAGAACCUUACCUGGGCUUGAUAUCCUAAGAACCUUGUAGAGAUACGAGGGUGCUAGCUUGCUAGAACUUAGUGACAGGUGCUGCACGGCUGUCGUCAGCUCGUGUCGUGAGAUGUUCGGUUAAGUCCGGCAACGAGCGCAACCCACGUAUUUAGUUGCUAACAGUUUGGCUGAGCACUCUAAAUAUACUGCCUUCGUAAGGAGGAGGAAGGUGUGGACGACGUCAAGUCAU